Non-coding RNA from Salvia hispanica, 402 nucleotides. The record is from RefSeq and is a predicted model, not a curated record. NCBI's taxonomy places the organism in Eukaryota, Viridiplantae, Streptophyta, Magnoliopsida, Lamiales, Lamiaceae.
AACUUCUCCCCUCAUUCAAAGCCAGUAAACCCUAGCCGCCUCCCACAACCGAGAGAAACCACCGCUACCGUCAAUUAUCUUAGAAUCGAGCCUUCGAUCGGAGAUUCGGAGUCACAUAGUUCAGGGUUUUUUACGCUUGCGCCGUAGGACGUCGAUUCAUCUACUUUCUACGAAAACGUUUUGGGAUGUCGAAAAGAGGUCGCCCCCUCAAAAGCCAGCCCACGCAGACCGAAGCUUCGCUGCCUAGGUUGGACAUUGACGAAGCGGUCGAUGAUGUUAUUCCAAUUGUGAUUGCGCAAAAGUUCAGGGAGAGAUUGGCUGAGCAAAGGACCGAGACGAGUACCUCUUAUGAAGACACAAAAAUUGUAUAAUGGAUGUAAUUAACAUAAUAAUGUACAGAUU